This 267-nucleotide ribosomal RNA is filed under the name uncultured bacterium. Its description in RNAcentral is "partial 16S ribosomal RNA". It matches the Rfam family "Bacterial small subunit ribosomal RNA", at positions 793 to 1055 of the family's 1533-position model. The record is from RNAcentral.
GUCCACGCCGUAAAACGAUGAAUACUAGGUGUGGGGGUCUUUGAGACUUUAGUGGCGCAGCUAACGCGAUAAGUAGACCGCCUGGGGGAGUACGGUCGCAAGACUAAAAACUCAAAUGAAUUGACGGGGGGCCCGCACAAGCGGUGGAGCAUGUGGUUUAAUUCGAUGCAACGCGAAGAACCUUACCUGGUCUUGACAUAGUAAGAACUUUCCAGAGAUGGAUUGGUGCCUUCGGGAGCUUACAUACAGGUGCUGCAUGGCUGUCGU